UCCCUGGUGGUCCAGUGGUUAGGAUUCGGCACCUUCACUGUGGAGGCCCGGGUUCAAUCCCUGGUCAGGGAA
Lipotes vexillifer (Yangtze River dolphin) is the source of this 72-nucleotide non-coding RNA. NCBI's taxonomy places the organism in Eukaryota, Metazoa, Chordata, Mammalia, Artiodactyla, Lipotidae. The record is from the annotation of a RefSeq genome assembly.